This 468-nucleotide ribosomal RNA is filed under the name uncultured bacterium. Its description in RNAcentral is "partial 16S ribosomal RNA". It matches the Rfam family "Bacterial small subunit ribosomal RNA", at positions 28 to 507 of the family's 1533-position model. The record is from RNAcentral.
GAUGAACGCUGGCGGCGUGCUUAACACAUGCAAGUCGAACGGAAAGGCCCUGCUUUUGUGGGGUGCUCGAGUGGCGAACGGGUGAGUAACACGUGAGUAACCUGCCCUUGACUUUGGGAUAACUUCAGGAAACUGGGGCUAAUACCGGAUAGGAGCUCCUGCUGCAUGGUGGGGGUUGGAAAGUUUCGGCGGUUGGGGAUGGACUCGCGGCUUAUCAGCUUGUUGGUGGGGUAGUGGCUUACCAAGGCUUUGACGGGUAGCCGGCCUGAGAGGGUGACCGGCCACAUUGGGCCUGCGAUACGGCCCAGACUCCUACGGGAGGCAGCAGUGGGGAAUAUUGCACAAUGGGCGGAAGCCUGAUGCAGCAACGCCGCGUGCGGGAUGACGGCCUUCGGGUUGUAAACCGCUUUCGCCUGUGACGAAGCGUGAGUGACGGUAAUGGGUAAAGAAGCACCGGCUAACUACGUG